RNAcentral lists this ribosomal RNA (485 nucleotides) under uncultured bacterium. Its description in RNAcentral is "partial 16S ribosomal RNA". It matches the Rfam family "Bacterial small subunit ribosomal RNA", at positions 29 to 523 of the family's 1533-position model. The record is from RNAcentral.
AGUGAACGCUGGCGGCGUGCUUAACACAUGCAAGUCGAACGAGAAUGGAAUAUAGCUUGCUAUAUUUGUCAGCUAAGUGGCGCACGGGUGAGUAAUGUAUAGAUAACCUGCCCUUAAGAAAGGAAUAACAGUUGGAAACGACUGCUAAUGCCCUAUAUGCCUUUAAUACAUAAGUAUGCAAGGGAAACGCUAUAGUGCUUAAGGAUGGGUCUGUAUGGUAUCAGCUUGUCGGUGAGGUAAUGGCUCACCAAGGCUAUGACGCCUAACUGGUUUGAGAGGAUGAUCAGUCACACUGGAACUGAGACACGGUCCAGACUCCUACGGGAGGCAGCAGUGGGGAAUAUUGCACAAUGGACGAAAGUCUGAUGCAGCGACGCCGCGUGGAGGAUGACACAUUUCGGUGCGUAAACUCCUUUUAUAUAGGAAGAUAAUGACGGUACUAUAUGAAUAAGCACCGGCUAACUCCGUGCCAGCCGCCGCGGUAA